ACUCCUACGGGAGGCAGCAGUGGGGAAUCUUCCGCAAUGGACGAAAGUCUGACGGAGCAACGCCGCGUGUAUGAUGAAGGUCUUCGGAUUGUAAAGUACUGUCUUUGGGGAAGAAUAGUGGAAUUAAGAAUAUUGAGUCCAUAUGACGGUACCCAAGGAGGAAGCCCCGGCUAACUACGUGCCAGCAGCCGCGGUAAUACGUAGGGGGCAAGCGUUGUCCGGAAUUAUUGGGCGUAAAGGGCGCGUAGGCGGAUAAUUAAGUCCGGUGUGAAAGAUCAGGGCUCAACCCUGAGAGUGCAUCGGAAACUGGCUAUCUUGAGGACAGGAGAGGAAAGUGGAAUUCCACGUGUAGCGGUGAAAUGCGUAGAUAUGUGGAGGAACACCAGUGGCGAAGGCGACUUUCUGGACUGUAACUGACGCUGAGGCGCGAAAGCGUGGGGAGCAAACAGGAUUAGAUACCCUGGUAGUCCACGCUGUAAACGAUGAGUGCUAGGUGUAGAGGGUAUCGACCCCUUCUGUGCCGCAGU
Molecule: ribosomal RNA, 527 nt
Filed under: uncultured bacterium
Lineage: Bacteria
Description: bacterial SSU rRNA
Rfam family: Bacterial small subunit ribosomal RNA
Source: RNAcentral